GUUGAAAUUCAACAAAAAAAUGACUGAAAAAACAGUCGCCAUGUUUGCAAUCGUUGAAGUGAUUGUUUUGUUUUUAGUUCCGCGUUGGACUCGCUAGUAAGUUAAAUAAAACUGCCCUGGAUUACUUGAAAAUACAAAUUAAAAGAGUGGUUGAAGAGCAACUUUAUGUUAUUUGAGAUCAAGAGCAGCAGCAGUUCCGCUGCAGACAGAAAUUCAUCGGCUGACUCAACGGAAUCCUAAAUUUAUUUGUCUCCAGAUGCCGUCACGUCUUUGGGAUGAUCCGGAACUUCCUACAUUUGUUGCAUCAAGAGGUUUGUGUCAGUUCCGAAAUGUCCGAGGAAAAAAUACAAGCACUAAAAUAACAGCAGAUAGGAAAGCGUGCUGUAGAAUCAUUAUGGGAAAAGCAGCAGCGUACCAUCCGCAACUGUGGUAUCAGAGGCCGACAUGAGGAUAAUCGACGCAGUCAUUUCCUCGACCGGCUAGACUAUCUUCCACCAGCUCUUUCACUAACAUCAACAGUGCAGAUACCGGGGAAAGCAACUUAAUACAUGAAUGUUUUAAAAUAAAAAAUCUGUGCAUUGUAUCAUA
Molecule: long non-coding RNA, 588 nt
Organism: Uranotaenia lowii
Lineage: Eukaryota; Metazoa; Arthropoda; Insecta; Diptera; Culicidae
Exons: 3
Source: RefSeq, a predicted model, not a curated record